AAAUGCGAUAACUAAUGUGAAUUGCAGAAUUCAGUGAAUCAUCGAGUCUUUGAACGCACAUUGCGCCCCCUGGUAUUCCGGGGGGCAUGCCUGUCCGAGCGUCAUUGCUGCCCUCAAGCCCGGCUUGUGUGUUGGGCCCUCGUCCCCCGGCUCCCGGGGGACGGGCCCGAAAGGCAGCGGCGGCACCGCGUCCGGUCCUCGAGCGUAUGGGGCUUCGUCUUCCGCUCCGUAGGCCCGGCCGGCGCCCGCCGACGCAUUUAUUUGCAACUUGUUUUUUUCCAGGUUGACCUCGGAUCAGGUAGGGAUACCCGCUGAACUUAAGC
RNAcentral lists this unclassified non-coding RNA (323 nucleotides) under plant metagenome. RNAcentral describes it as "partial contains 5.8S ribosomal RNA, internal transcribed spacer 2, and large subunit ribosomal RNA". The stretch from base 1 to 104 matches the Rfam family "5.8S ribosomal RNA", at positions 51 to 154 of the family's 154-position model. The record is from RNAcentral.